CGCGGUUUAAGUAAAUAAGGAAUCGUGUCGCUCCAGCCAAUUAGAAACGUCCUGGGCGAAUUUGUAACACGUAUUUAGGCAAGUAGUGUCAUUCGUCUAUAGAAAAUCAUCGUGGUCGGAUGAUUCUCCAGUUUGGAACAUACAAUAAUAUCUAAAUUGUUUGAUUGGGAUUCUUCAGAAAUUUCGAAGGAAUAUAUGGUGAUUUAUAAUCGAUAAUUCUUCUGAUAUUCAGAUAUUGUUAUAUGCAGUUAAUUGUUAAAAUGGCGAAAUGGCGGGAAGAAUUUCAAUAAUAUAUAUAUAUAUAAAUUUCAAAUUUCAAUGGAUGCCAAUGAAAUUAAAAUGGCUUCGAUGAA
Apis dorsata (giant honeybee) is the source of this 353-nucleotide long non-coding RNA. RefSeq lists it as uncharacterized. Lineage: Eukaryota; Metazoa; Arthropoda; Insecta; Hymenoptera; Apidae. The transcript is spliced from 3 exons. The record is from RefSeq and is a predicted model, not a curated record.